Molecule: long non-coding RNA, 1371 nt
Filed under: Numida meleagris (helmeted guineafowl)
Lineage: Eukaryota; Metazoa; Chordata; Aves; Galliformes; Numididae
Description: lncRNA (ENSNMEG00000016151.1)
Source: RNAcentral
AUGGGGGGAGAUUGGCUGCGGGGCUGCCUCCGUGCGUCCGCUUUCCACUGUCCCUGCCCAGCAAGGGAAUUGCAGCCAAGUCGUGCAUUGCAGCCGGCGUCUCCCAGCCACUGCCUGCCAAGUGUGGCAGAGACCUGGCAUAGCUCUGCUGCCAGCCCCAAAUGGAGCUGGGGAUGCUCUCUGGAGCCCCCCCCCUCCCCCCCCCGUCUCCUGUAUCAUGCUGUGGUGGAAGGGCAGCAUCCUGUCCUGGCAGGGCCCUGCACUCCCCUCACUUUGGUUUUUCCAAGCCUCCCUGGUGUCAGUAUUUCUGAGUGCCAGGAGCUGCUGGCAGCAGGGUGGCUGUGCUGUAGGGUCUCCCAGCUCCGCGAUGCCCUGUGCAGAGCUCAGACAAGCUGGGAUGUGCCGUGGGCUGGCGGCUGCUCCUGGCCUCUGGCUGUUUGCAGCGUCUGGGGCUCUGCCUCGAGCCAGAGGAUGCUUUGCCUUACUAAUAGAUUGAAGAUCUUGUUAUCUCCUUGCUCAGGGAUGGCAGGCAGGAGGAAAUGGUUGCUCCUACUUGUCCAAGGCUGGAGAAGUCUCCUGGGAGCCUCUCUGGCAGAGGAAGUUGCAGAGAUGAAGAUGCCAUCUCGAAAGCCUCCAAGAUCUUUGUUUCACUGUUGUCAUGGCCAAGUGGCGUGGCAUCCCACGGCUGUGUGCUGGGCAGCGGGGCAAGCUCUGUGUGCAGCCAGCACUUCCCAGGGCCAUGGAGAUGGGUCAGGGCCAGGGCAGGCAGCUCAGCUGGUGAAUGCCUCGCUCCUGGGACCAAGGAGCUGCUGGCUUAGAGACACUCUCCAGAGCCAGCUUUGGGCAGGUGAGCUCUGUGCUAGGGGCAAGCAGCACGGUGGCCUCCUUCAAGGCAUCUGCAGCGUUGCCUGCAGUGCUGAUGGUGCUUUUAUGUUCAUUAUGAACCAGCUCGUUAGAUGGACUCUGGGAAGCCGUGGGCACCCAAGGAUUGUUUGCCUGGUCCCAGCAGCUUCAGCUGCAGAGCCAGGUGGGGAGUGGGUGGCCUCUGGUUUCCCCACGCAGUGGUUUUCAUCAAAGCGAAAUUGCAGAAACUGUGGCCACAGCCUCUGCCCUUGGUGGGGCAGACCUCUGCUGCACUGCCCUGGCUCGUUGCAGCCCAGCCUGGGGGCAGCUCGUGGUGCUGCCUGCACCCACUGCCCUUCCCUUGCCCACAUCCCUGCUGCUGCUGUCCCCAGAACGGGAGUGGUGCCAGGCAGGGCUGGGAGCAGGCUCAGCACCAAGAGGUUUAUCCUGGAAAGAGGAAACAAGAAAACCCCAGAUUUGCAGUUCCAAAGUCCAGGGCUGCAGGGUGACGGGCUGAGCUGGUGCUGA